Molecule: ribosomal RNA, 709 nt
Filed under: Klebsiella quasivariicola
Lineage: Bacteria; Pseudomonadati; Pseudomonadota; Gammaproteobacteria; Enterobacterales; Enterobacteriaceae
Description: partial 16S rRNA
Source: RNAcentral
UGUCCAGGGGGCCGCCUUCGCCACCGGUAUUCCUCCAGAUCUCUACGCAUUUCACCGCUACACCUGGAAUUCUACCCCCCUCUACAAGACUCUAGCCUGCCAGUUUCGAAUGCAGUUCCCAGGUUGAGCCCGGGGAUUUCACAUCCGACUUGACAGACCGCCUGCGUGCGCUUUACGCCCAGUAAUUCCGAUUAACGCUUGCACCCUCCGUAUUACCGCGGCUGCUGGCACGGAGUUAGCCGGUGCUUCUUCUGCGGGUAACGUCAAUCGAUGAGGUUAUUAACCUCACCGCCUUCCUCCCCGCUGAAAGUGCUUUACAACCCGAAGGCCUUCUUCACACACGCGGCAUGGCUGCAUCAGGCUUGCGCCCAUUGUGCAAUAUUCCCCACUGCUGCCUCCCGUAGGAGUCUGGACCGUGUCUCAGUUCCAGUGUGGCUGGUCAUCCUCUCAGACCAGCUAGGGAUCGUCGCCUAGGUGAGCCGUUACCCCACCUACUAGCUAAUCCCAUCUGGGCACAUCUGAUGGCAUGAGGCCCGAAGGUCCCCCACUUUGGUCUUGCGACGUUAUGCGGUAUUAGCUACCGUUUCCAGUAGUUAUCCCCCUCCAUCAGGCAGUUUCCCAGACAUUACUCACCCGUCCGCCGCUCGUCACCCGAGAGCAAGCUCUCUGUGGCUACCGCUCGACUUGCAUGUGUUAGGCCUGCCGCCAG